This 510-nucleotide ribosomal RNA is filed under the name uncultured bacterium. RNAcentral's name for it is "partial 16S ribosomal RNA". It matches the Rfam family "Bacterial small subunit ribosomal RNA", at positions 28 to 507 of the family's 1533-position model. The record is from RNAcentral.
GACGAACGCUGGCGGCGUGCUUAACACAUGCAAGUCGAACGAAGAGCGAUGGAAGCUUGCUUCUAUCACUCUUAGUGGCGAACGUGUGAGUAACGCGUAAUCAACCUGCCCUUCAGAGGGGGACAACAGUUGGAAACGACUGCUAAUACCGCAUACGAUCUAAUCUCGGCAUCGAGGAUAGAUGAAAGGUGGCCUCUACAUGUAAGCUAUCACUGAAGGAGGGGAUUGCGUCUGAUUAGCUAGUUGGAGGGGUAACGGCCCACCAAGGCGAUGAUCAGUAGCCGGUCUGAGAGGAUGAACGGCCACAUUGGGACUGAGACACGGCCCAGACUCCUACGGGAGGCAGCAGUGGGGAAUCUUCCGCAAUGGACGAAAGUCUGACGGAGCAACGCCGCGUGAGCGAUGACGGCCUUCGGGUUGUAAAGCUCUGUUAAUCGGGACGAAAGGCCUUCUUGCGAAUAGUGAGAAGGAUUGACGGUACCGGAAUAGAAAGCCACGGCUAACUACGUG